RNAcentral lists this ribosomal RNA (259 nucleotides) under Cephalobyrrhus sp. North Vietnam. Its description in RNAcentral is "partial small subunit ribosomal RNA". Lineage: Eukaryota; Metazoa; Arthropoda; Insecta; Coleoptera; Limnichidae. The record is from RNAcentral.
GGAACCUGUUCUUUAAUUGAUAUUCCACGAUUUUUUUUACUUAAAAGGUUUGUAUAUCGUCGUAGAUUUGAAUAUUUUAUUAAAAUUUUAAUAUUCGAUAGUUUUUAUAAAAAGUUAAAUCAGAUCAAGGUGCAGCUAAUGAUUAAGGUUAAAUGGGUUACAAUAAAUUUAUUUAAAUGGUUUAAUAAUUUAAAUAUUGUUAAUAAAGCGGGAUAGUAAUUUUUUAAAUUAAUUAGAAUGAUUUUAGCUCUAAAAUAUG